UAGUCAUAUGCUUGUCUCAAAGAUUAAGCCAUGCAUGUCUAAGUAUAAACUGAAUUUAUACGGUGAGACUGCGGAUGGCUCAUUAAAUCAGUUAUAGUUUAUUUGAUGGUCCUUUUUUUUCUUUUUUACUACUUGGAUAACCGUGGUAAUUCUAGAGCUAAUACAUGCGUAAGGUCCUGAUCUGCCUGGUUUUUCGUUUCAUUGUGUGUCAGUGUUCGCGCACUGGCGCACAGGCGGGCCUUUGGUAGAAAGGGAUGUAUUUAUUAGGUAAAAAAAC
Molecule: ribosomal RNA, 277 nt
Filed under: uncultured eukaryote
Lineage: Eukaryota
Description: partial 18S ribosomal RNA
Rfam family: Eukaryotic small subunit ribosomal RNA
Source: RNAcentral